GUGGGAGCGGGCUUGCUCGCGAAUGCAGUUGUUCAUUCAGCAUUGAUGUCGACUGAUACGACGCAUUCGCGAGCAAGCCCGCUCCCAC
This 88-nucleotide non-coding RNA is filed under the name Pseudomonas baetica. The record is from RNAcentral. Lineage: Bacteria; Pseudomonadati; Pseudomonadota; Gammaproteobacteria; Pseudomonadales; Pseudomonadaceae.